UAGCGAUUGAAGUGGAAAUCCUUUUAACGCAGCGCAGCGUAGGUAAAAGAUUGCAGCGUAAAGCGCGGUGGCGG
RNAcentral lists this small RNA (74 nucleotides) under Flavobacterium caeni. RNAcentral describes it as "Flavo-1 RNA". The stretch from base 3 to 67 matches the Rfam family "Flavo-1 RNA", at positions 9 to 69 of the family's 76-position model. The record is from RNAcentral. Lineage: Bacteria; Pseudomonadati; Bacteroidota; Flavobacteriia; Flavobacteriales; Flavobacteriaceae.